AGUGAACGCUGGCGGUAGGCCUAACACAUGCAAGUCGAACGGCAGCACAGUAAGAGCUUGCUCUUACGGGUGGCGAGUGGCGGACGGGUGAGGAAUACAUCGGAAUCUACUUUUUCGUGGGGGAUAACGUAGGGAAACUUACGCUAAUACCGCAUACGACCUACGGGUGAAAGCAGGGGAUCUUCGGACCUUUCGCGUAUCAAUGAGCCGAUGUCGUAUUAGCUAGUUGGCGGGGUAAAGGCCCACCAAGGCGACGAUCCGUAGCUGGUCUGAGAGGAUGAUCAGCCACACGGGAACUGAGACACGGUCCAGACUCCUACGGGAGGCAGCAGUGGGGAAUAUUGGACAAUGGGCGCAAGCCUGAUCCAGCCAUACCGCGUGGGUGAAGAAGGCCUUCGGGUUGUAAAGCCCUUUUGUUGGGAAAGAAAAGCAGCAGGUUAAUACCCCGCUGUUCUGACGGUACCCAAAGAAUAAGCACCGGCUAACUUCGUG
This 492-nucleotide ribosomal RNA is filed under the name uncultured bacterium. Its description in RNAcentral is "partial 16S ribosomal RNA". It matches the Rfam family "Bacterial small subunit ribosomal RNA", at positions 29 to 507 of the family's 1533-position model. The record is from RNAcentral.